Ixodes scapularis (black-legged tick) is the source of this 806-nucleotide long non-coding RNA. RefSeq lists it as uncharacterized. Lineage: Eukaryota; Metazoa; Arthropoda; Arachnida; Ixodida; Ixodidae. The record is from RefSeq and is a predicted model, not a curated record. The transcript has 3 exons.
CUGUAUUUUUCGUGGCUUAUGAGUGGCCUUUGAGGUAAUACAGGCUUGAUUUGUUGAUUUCAGGAAAUGUACUCUGUUGUCCAUUUAUUUGUUGCUUUAUUUGUUGAUUUCAGGAAAUGUACUCUGUGGUCCAUUUUUUGGCGGAAAAUGAUGUUGCAGUUGUUCCUACCUGUUGGGUGUGCAAUGGCCGCACGGCAUGGCCACCCUACAGAUCAAAUCGGUUGAUGAUGGUAAUUGAGAGCGUGAAGAGCCCUUUACUGACUGGGCCACAUUCUCCUGUCAGGUGAUGGCAUCAUGUUUGACAUAUGAAGAUGCAAAGUUCAAAGAAAAAAAAUCCGGAAGCGACGUCCGACCUAUCAACGAAUAAUGAAGAGCGGGAGAAAAGAAAAAGGAAGAGACUGCUCCUUUUCCGUCAAGCUUGCCUCUUCUGCAGGAACGACCUAGCACUCAGCCAGCCCCUCAACUUCCAGAACGUGCACCAGUGCCCAAGCAAAAACGCACACGUGAGCAGCGUGCCUCUUCCCAGGAGUGACUGAGGGGCUGCCACAAGGGGAGAAGGCAAGCAUGUUUCUGAUUACAAGAAUGGACAGUUGGGCUGGGCUAGUUGGUAAGAAUUGAUGUUGAAAAACGGUGCAAAAACCAGACAAAGAGAAAAGAACACACAGCACCUUGUCCUGUGUGUUCUCUUAUCCGUGCAUUUUGCACUGUUUUUCAGCAUGUUUCUGCCUUGAUUUUUCUGUUAUAGUUUUAAAUGUCUGUAGUUGGUUACUUUGAUCCCUGUUGGAAGCAUGGAAUUGGUUAACCGU